Molecule: unclassified non-coding RNA, 4296 nt
Filed under: Leishmania donovani
Lineage: Eukaryota; Euglenozoa; Kinetoplastea; Trypanosomatida; Trypanosomatidae
Description: gene:LdHU3.07.0670(CDS-product:hypothetical_prote in_conserved)
Source: RNAcentral
CGAAGGAUACGUACGAGUGUGCGCACUGUCGCUUUCCGCUCUUGCCCCCCGUCUGUAAGCCCCCCUUUCCCUUUUCUUCGUUUUUCCCUUUUCGCUUCACCGUCUCGUUCCCACACGACACACGACACACGAAAGGAUACUCUCCUUCUUUCCGCCUGCUUCCUCUUCCCUCUUGUUCUGCACGUCCUGUGUCGGUCUCUCUCUUUCCCCACCCCCUUCUUGGUCUUGUCUCGAUUUAGUGAAGCGUGUGCUGGCAUUUUGCUAGUGCCUGUGUGUGUGUGUGUGUGUUUGAUUGCGCACCUUUCACACUCCCUCCCUUGCCCCCGCCCGCCUCGCACCUUCCCACUCUUCCAUUCGCCCUUUCUCUCACUGUGCGCUUCUCUCGCCACACCCUCCCUCACCCCUUCGUCUCGCUCUCCCCGUUUGAUAGGGCUUCUCUCCUCUCCUCUCCUCUCCUGCUCCCCUCCCCCACUCCCCCCCACCCCCUCAGUUGCUGCUGGCGGUGUUUGAGCUUCGACAGCGCUUGUGCCCCGCGCGCGCUCUCUUGCCCAUCUUUAACGGCGUCUUUUAUUCUUGUGACCCUCCCUCUUCGCCCCACCCGCAAGCUGCCUCUUCAACCCAGCCGAUCUCUUUUUCUUGUUCCGACUCGAGGCAAGGGUGAGACCAGGGUGUGUGGGGGAGGGGGUCAGUCAUAGCGACACGCACAGAGCCCCCCCCCCCCCCCCCCCCCCACACACACACACACACACACACACACGGUACACCGUAUCGGGAAUUCGUUAAUCAGCGGUCGCCGUCUUAGGAGAAUCAUUGAAGACUCUGUUGGACGCGUGGCGUGUGUGUAUGUGUGUGUGUGUGUUGUAGGGACGCCUUUCUUCGUUUUGCUAUGCCAUCCUCUGCGGCACCGUCACCCACACCAGGCGGCACGCACCUCGAAGACGCUGGUAGUGCUGAGCCCGCAGCCGUCCCCUCCUCUUCACCUACAUCCUCCUCUAGUAGUGCGGGCUUCUCCCACUGGUGGCAGCGUCUCUACUCUGCCCACACCUUCGCAGAGGGGCUGCGCGUGGUGUUUGAAGUGGUGCCGCUGUGGGUUCCUGUCGCCGGCGUGAUCACGACUGCAGGCACGUACUAUGUCACCUUCCGCGUGCGUCUCUUUCUCGCGCAGUGGCGCAUCGCCGAGCGUCGCCGCGCUGAGCGCAAGUACGAGCUGCUCGACAAUCUGCGCGGCAUGAAAAUCGUGCCGGUUGGCGCGGUCCACGCACUCGGCGACGACGACGACGAUGAUGAUGACGACGAUGACGACGAGGAAGAGGACGAGACGGCAGUGUCGCGACGCGACGUAGAUGAGUUCCGCAGCAGCCUCGGUAUUCGUCUACCCCGCGAUGAGGAUUUGAUGGCUAUUGUCGAGCGCAUGCUCAUGUCAGACACGCUGCCGGAUGGGUGGGUGCUCUACCGCACGAGUGCCGGCAUCGUUCGCUUCAUGAACCUGAACACACAGGAGCUCUUCUUUUUCCCGCCCAACAAGCGCAAGGAGAAGGCGCUCAUCGAGUCCGAACUGAAGAAGCGCAACCGUGAGGCCAUGGAGAGUAGAUACAACUUCUCGUACGAGGAUGAGGGCAUGAACUCGAGCUCCCUUUCUCCUUCUCGCUCCGACACGCAGAAUUUUGAGACGUCGCACCGCUCUGCUCGCGAGGACGGCGGAACGGCAGGGGGAAACGCCUCUCCUAUCGAUUUCGACGACGGCGCCGGCGCCGAGGACCCGAAUGACGGCCUCAGUAGCACCUUCCGCCGCGUAUUCAGCUACUUCCUGGAGCGUGAGCAGAAGAAGAUUGAGCAGGGUGUCGCCUUAGCGCGGUCGUCGCGCGAAGGGUCGGUGCUCGGCGGCCCGUCGGCAGGCCCCUCCAGCGCUUUUUUGGGCGGCACUGGUAGUGGCCAAGGAAGUGGCAGCGGUGCUGGGGGUGCCUCUGGCGUCGCAGGUGGCGGCCACGACGGGGCCACUGCAUCCCACCGCACGAGCGCCUCUAUGACGUACCGUGUGGUGUCCUCAAGCUCCAUUCACGGCGGGCGUAGUGGGAACAAUUAGAGGAGCGGAGAAGGUCGGUGCUCCUCUCUUCUCCUUCCCUUCUUUCCCAUUGGCCGCCUCCCCUCCUCCCCCUCCCACAUCGUUUUCAUGGAGUGGACCGUGCUGCUCGGCAAACAGGAGACAGGAAAAAAGGAGGAGGGGAGGAGGAGGGGGGAGGGGUCGAACAGCAGACGCCUUAGCCUCACACAGGUGUCGAUAUGACGCGCGUUGUUGAUAAGGCGGCAGAGUGUUUAUUUUUUGUUUGCCCCCCCCCCCUCUUCCUCCCCUCUUGCCCUCCGUUUUGCUACCUUGAAAACCAGUGGCUACUCCCUCCCUCCCUGCCCUCCGUCCCUAUCUUCCUCCCCCCUCCGCUUUCUUCCUCUGCCUGAGUGUCUGCCCGUGUGGCCGUCUGGGUCGCAUGCAUGCGUUGUGUAUGGGUCACUUUUUUUGUGUGUGUUUUUGGUGAAGAGGGGUGCGGGAGAGGUGAAUGGGGAGUGAGUGGGUCAGGGGAGGAGGAGGAGAGAUCAGGCUUGCAUCUGUUCUCUCCUCUCCUCCUCCACCUCCCUCUUUUUUUUUUGCCGGUUGCGUGUGUUUUUCCUUUUUCGGAAUUUCUUUUUGUGUGUCAGUGUGUGUGUGUGUGUGCGAUGGGGCGGAGAUUGGGGGAGAUGAGGGUAGGGUAGGGGGUGAGGUGGUGAGGGAAAAGGGGAAAGGAGGAUAGGAGGGGGUGGGUGAGAAGAGUGAAAGCAAACGAAACGUAGAACCAGUUGCCAUCGCGUGCUGCCACGGUGAGGUGUACCCUCAAGGGUUGUUGUGACCUUCUCUCUGCCUUUCUCACUGCUUUGCGUUGUGGUCGCUUUUCGCCGCUCCUCCCCUCCCUUCCCUUCUCUUCCCUCACCCACCCGCGCCCUUCUGCUGCACGCACUGCAUUCCUUCGACGCAUGUGCGUGUCUCUGUCUCUCUUUUUUUCCCUGCCGUUCUCUGUCGUUGUGGGAAAACUGCGAGGGAAGGAAGAAAGAGGAGUCUGAGAGAGAGCAGGAUGGCUGCGAGGUGAGGGGUGAGGAGGGGUGGGAGGGCAUGAGAGAUGCAAGAGCCGAACCUUGGGGUAUGGGUUUUGCCUGCUUGUUGCUGCGCGCAUUUCUCUCACAAGCAUCCUCUUCCGCUCAGUCUCGUGCUCGACUGCUCUUUUCUUUUUGUUGUUGUCACUCGACUUCGCCUUCUUUCUCUCUGUGUUUCUCUUCUCGAAGUGAGCGGUGCUGUCGAUGAUACUGGAAGGCGCUGCUGCUGCUAAAUGUGCGGAUGCGCGUGCGUAUGUGGGCGAUUCACUACCGCUGCGACUCACUCGCCUCUUUGCGUUGUUGUUCUCCCUUCUUCAAUCCUCGUUGUUCGCGUAUGCGUGUGUGUGUGUGUGUGUCUAUGCGCGAAUGAGCGAGUGCGUAGGCGGAGUGUGGUGAGGGGCUGGGGAACAGGUGAGGGCUUGCGUGGGUGCCUUUGCUUGCCUAGGUCGGUUCUCUUUAGCUCUCUAUCCGCACAAACACGCUUGUGUACUUUCUUCCCUUUUUUGCAUCGCACCGGUCAUCAUCUCUCACUCGGAGAGCGCCAACCACCACCACCUCCGUCCUCCUCUUCUUUCUCUUCGGCGACACUGCGUCUCCGCCGCACUUGCCCUCGGUUUAGCUUCGGUUUCAAUCCCUUCUCAGUGUGUAACGGGCCAGCUCUAGCACUGCACAUAAAAAAAAUCAACAAAAAGGGCAAGAGAGCGAACGAAAAGUGUGCAUUCGAACAGUGCGGUGGCUGCGACCCAGAAGACAAGUGCGCGCAGGGUAAGGUCGAGGGGGGAGGGAGGUUGUGGUGGACGUGACGAGCGGUGACGAAACGGGGCAAGUCGCUGCGCGUCCGUACUCUCGUCUUUCUCACUUCUUUUCCGCACCUCUGCUGGUGCGCUUUCCCACGACGCAGGUGCUCCCAUCCCUUUCUGCCCUGCUUCCGCUUGCGCACACGCCUCUGGGCAUGACUGUGCGCUCCUCUCCUACGGCAAACCUUUAUCUCACGUAUUUACUUCUCUCUUGCCCCAUUUGUACAUCUCCUUUUCCCUUCGCCACACUCAUACGCACGCACCUUCAUCACCGCGUUGCGCCCGCCUUCGCAUUCUUGCUUUUCUUUGGUUGUGCUCACGUGUGUGCAUGCGUCCUUGCGCGUCUACUGCUCCCCUAUUUCCACUCCACAUUCUCCGCCAG